This 234-nucleotide unclassified non-coding RNA is filed under the name plant metagenome. Its description in RNAcentral is "partial contains small subunit ribosomal RNA, internal transcribed spacer 1, and 5.8S ribosomal RNA". The record is from RNAcentral.
UUUCCGUAGGUGAACCUGCGGAAGGAUCAUUAAUGUGGUUGGGCCUCACGGCUCUUCAUUCCUACGCUGUGCGCCUUCGGGCUGCACGCUGAGGGAGCAUAUAUCCACCCCUGUGCACACACACGGUGGCGAGCUGGGUAACGGCUCGCCGAUGAUCUUUACACACGUCUAAAAGUCAUUGUAUGUUUAUUUGAGAUAAAAACACAACUUUCAGCAACGGAUCUCUUGGCUCUC